UACGGCGGGGGCAAGCGUUGUUCGGAUUUACUGGGCGUAAAGGGCGCGUAGGCGGCGCGUAAAGUCGGACAUGAAAUCAUUGGGCUUAACCCGAUGGCUGUGCCGGAUACUUGCGUGCUUAGAGUGCGGUAGAGGCAGACGGAAUUCUCGGUGUAGCGGUGAAAUGCGUAGAUAUCGAGAGGAACUCCGGUGACGAAGGUGGGUUACUGGACCGACACUGACGCUGAGGCGCGAAAGCUAGGGGAGCAAACGGG
Molecule: ribosomal RNA, 254 nt
Filed under: uncultured bacterium
Lineage: Bacteria
Description: partial 16S ribosomal RNA
Rfam family: Bacterial small subunit ribosomal RNA
Source: RNAcentral